RNAcentral lists this small RNA (731 nucleotides) under Green valley X phytoplasma. Its description in RNAcentral is "bacterial LSU rRNA". The stretch from base 253 to 731 matches the Rfam family "Bacterial large subunit ribosomal RNA", at positions 1 to 518 of the family's 2925-position model. The record is from RNAcentral. Lineage: Bacteria; Bacillati; Mycoplasmatota; Mollicutes; Acholeplasmatales; Acholeplasmataceae.
GGAUGGAUCACCUCCUUUCUAAGGAAAAAAUAAAAUUAUCAUCUUCAGUUUUGAAAGACUUAGAAAAUUCAUAAGUUUUUCUUUUUUUAAGGCAUUAAGGGCCUAUAGCUCAGCUGGUUAGAGCACACGCCUGAUAAGCGUGAGGUCGGUGGUUCAAGUCCAUUUAGGCCCACCAGUUUAUUUUAAAAGUUAUAAGCACUGUCUUAAAAAAAAGUUCUUUGAAAAGUAGAUAAACAUAGUAAAAUCAAAAAAAUUGAAGGAAUUAAGAGCGCACAGUGGAUGCCUUGGCACCAAGAGCCGAUGAAGGACGCAAUUAACGGCGAUACGCCACGGGGAGUUGUAAAUAAAUGAAGAUCCGUGGAUUUCCGAAUGGGGAAACCUACUAUAAUAACAUUAUAGUUUUUUGAUUUUCGAAUCAAAAAGGGAUACGCAGUGAACUGAAAUAUCUAAGUAACUGCAGGAAAAGAAAGUAAUAACGAUUCUGGCAGUAGCGACGAGCGAAUCCGGAGGAGCCUGAUACCACCACUAGUUACAAAAUUUUAACCAACUUGAAGUUUUUGGGAAAAAACACCAAAGAAGGUGAUAGUCCUGUAAGGGUAAGUUAAAAUCUAGGGUAUCGAAAAGUACGGCGAGACACGAGAAAUCUUGUUGGAACAUAGGGAGGACCAUCUCCUAAGGCUAAAUACUACUUGGUGACCGAUAGUGAACUAGUACCGUGAGGGAAAGGCGAA